GAAAUGCGAUACGUAAUGUGAAUUGCAGGAAUCUGUGAAUCAUCAAAAUUUUGAACGCAAGUUGCAGCUCUGUUGAGGAGCUAUAUCUAUUUCAGUGUUGGUAAAGACAAAAAUCACAAAACAAUUAUUUUGUGGAAAUGAAUGUAUAAGUAUUCUUAUUCAUUUUAAUUAAAUUGAAAAGUUUUACUUCAACUGUUAGUUUAUUCUAAUAAUAAAAGUUUAACUUUUUCAAGCAAUAUAAUUAAAUAAGCAACCUGAAAUUAGUUAAGAUUACCCGCUGAACUUAA
RNAcentral lists this unclassified non-coding RNA (287 nucleotides) under uncultured Acaulospora. RNAcentral's name for it is "sequence contains ITS1". The stretch from base 1 to 100 matches the Rfam family "5.8S ribosomal RNA", at positions 50 to 154 of the family's 154-position model. Lineage: Eukaryota; Fungi; Glomeromycota; Glomeromycetes; Diversisporales; Acaulosporaceae. The record is from RNAcentral.